Long non-coding RNA from Saccostrea cuccullata (small rock oyster), 1169 nucleotides. RefSeq lists it as uncharacterized. The transcript is spliced from 6 exons. Lineage: Eukaryota; Metazoa; Mollusca; Bivalvia; Ostreida; Ostreidae. The record is from RefSeq and is a predicted model, not a curated record.
UUAUGUUAUCUCGAUUUAUAAGAUUUGUAAAUUGCAAAAAGUUGAAAAACAAACGUUUCUUUACCUGAAAAAUGAAAGUAGGUUUGCAGUUUCUUAUUCUGUCAAGUGCUAUUGCACUUUAAAGUGUCAAAACAGCACCUCUCGAUUUUGUAAACAUGUUUCCACGUGGAAGGGAGUAGUUGUGAUGGUCAAGAUUAACCCACAUACAUUGAUUUAGUGAACAAAAACACUCGUACAGCUGUAGAGUACAUUUUGAACAGCCAUCUCCAGGAUAUACUCUGAAGACAGUGAUGUGCAAGUUCAAGGUUUGCCUGUUCAGAUACUUCAAUAACAAAGAAUGGGUGAAAAAAAUCUCACAUUAUCAUGCUGCAUAAUAGCACAUUUCAGCUGUAACAAAACAAAUUGAUGAAAGCUUCAACCACUAGAAUCUAGGAAAGGAUGUCAAGUCCAAAGAGAAGGCCAUAUAACAAAUGGUUGCUGAAUUCAUGAAGACUAGCUGGGAUGAUACAGUACUUUUCUACUCAUAUGAACCAUAUCUAAAAAUCAUUUCAGGAUCCCUUUCUCAGAAAAAAAGAAUUUGCAUAUUCAAAGACUCUAUAGUUUAUUGUUUAUUUGUUUGUUUAACAUUCUUCUUGAGAAAUUUUCACUCAUAUGGGGAUGCCAACAUUUGUCGGUGGAGAGCUGCAAAUUUUGUCCUUUACUUGGCACACAUGGCUAAUUGAGCAAUGAGGGAUCUUUUUGGUACUAGCACCUACUGCAACACAGGACCUCUGUAUAUACAGUCUCAUCUAUGUCCGACUGUGGGAUUUCGAACCAGCAAUUUAUGGAUCAGCUCCUUACUCAUGACUCUCGAGCAGAUGCUCUUGCCACUGUGCCAUGCAGGUGACUUCAUAGGUUAUAAAAUGAUAAGAUUCAUAACUUAAAACUGAUUUUUUUUAUUCAAUCACAGUAUAGAAAAUGUUUGCGAAAAAGGGAGGUAAUAGCUACAUGUAGCUCUCACUGGUAUUGCAUGCUUAAACUAUAUGAAUUACAUAUAUUGUAAUUACACAUGUAUUUUAAACCAGAUCAGUAAAGAAAGAAACACUUGAAUAUUUUUACUUUGAAUUUUAUUAUAAGGUUGAUUAUCUUUUAAAAAAAUGGAACUUUUAAUUUUUUUUUUGAGUAGGAAA